This 400-nucleotide ribosomal RNA is filed under the name uncultured bacterium. RNAcentral describes it as "bacterial SSU rRNA". It matches the Rfam family "Bacterial small subunit ribosomal RNA", at positions 355 to 769 of the family's 1533-position model. The record is from RNAcentral.
UGGGGAAUUUUCCACAAUGGGCGGAAGCCUGAUGGAGCAAUACCGCGUGAGGGAUGAAGGAUCGUGGUUCGUAAACCUCUUUUCUUAGGGAAGAAUAAAUGACGGUACCUAAGGAAUAAGCACCGGCUAACUCUGUGCCAGCAGCCGCGGUAAUACAGAGGGUGCAAGCGUUGUCCGGAAUGAUUGGGCGUAAAGCAUCUGUAGGUGGUUUCUAAAGUCAGCUGUUAAAUCCCAGAGCUCAACUUUGGUCAAGCAGCUGAGUACUUAGGGACUUGAGUAUGGUAGGGGUAGAGGGAAUUCCUUGUUUAGCGGUGAAAUGCAUAGAGAUAAGGAAGAACACCAGUGGCGAAAGCGCUCUACUAGGCCAUGACUGACACUGAGAGAUGAAAGUUAGGGGAGC